CCUACGGGAGGCAGCAGUGGGGGAUAUUGCACAAUGGGGGGAACCCUGAUGCAGCGACGCCGCGUGGGUGAAGAAGCGCCUCGACGCGUAAAGUCCUUUCAGCAGGGAAGAAAAUGACGGUACCUGAAGAAGAAGCCCCGGCUAACUACGUGCCAGCAGCCGCGGUAAUACGGAGGGGGCGAGCGUUAUCCGGAUUGACUGGGGGGAAAGGGGGCGCAGACGGCGAAGCAAGCCAGGCGUGAAAGCCCGGGGCCCAACCCGGGGACUGCUCUUGGAACUGGGUGGCUGGAGUGCAGGAGGGGGAGGCGGAAUUCCAGGUGUAGCGGUGAAAUGCGUAGAUAUCAGGAGGAACACCGGUGGCGAAGGCGGCCUGCUGGACUGAAACUGACGUUGAGGUCCGAAAGCGUGGGGAGCAAACAGGAUUAGAUACCCGGGUAGUC
This 440-nucleotide ribosomal RNA is filed under the name uncultured bacterium. RNAcentral describes it as "partial 16S ribosomal RNA". It matches the Rfam family "Bacterial small subunit ribosomal RNA", at positions 338 to 795 of the family's 1533-position model. The record is from RNAcentral.